AGUGAACGCUGGCGGUAGGCCUAACACAUGCAAGUCGAACGGCAGCACAGUAAGAGCUUGCUCUUACGGGUGGCGAGUGGCGGACGGGUGAGGAAUACAUCGGAAUCUACUUUUUCGUGGGGGAUAACGUAGGGAAACUUACGCUAAUACCGCAUACGACCUACGGGUGAAAGCAUGGGAUCUUCGGACCUUGCGCGAUUGAAUGAGCCGAUGUCGGAUUAGCUAGUUGGCGGGGUAAAGGCCCACCAAGGCGACGAUCCGUAGCUGGUCUGAGAGGAUGAUCAGCCACACUGGAACUGAGACACGGUCCAGACUCCUACGGGAGGCAGCAGUGGGGAAUAUUGGACAAUGGGCGCAAGCCUGAUCCAGCCAUACCGCGUGGGUGAAGAAGGCCUUCGGGCUGUAAAGCACUUUUGUUGGGAAAGAAAAGCAGCAGGUUAAUACCCCGCUGUUCUGACGGUACCAAAAGAAUAAGCACCGGCUAACUUCGUG
Molecule: ribosomal RNA, 492 nt
Filed under: uncultured bacterium
Lineage: Bacteria
Description: partial 16S ribosomal RNA
Rfam family: Bacterial small subunit ribosomal RNA
Source: RNAcentral